UAGGGAAUCUUCCGCAAUGGGCGAAAGCCUGACGGAGCAACGCCGCGUGAGUGAUGAAGGUCUUCGGAUCGUAAAACUCUGUUAUUAGGGAAGAACAAAUGUGUAAGUAACUAUGCACGUCUUGACGGUACCUAAUCAGAAAGCCACGGCUAACUACGUGCCAUCAGCCGCGGUAAUACGUAGGUGGCAAGCGUUAUCCGGAAUUAUUGGGCGUAAAGCGCGCGUAGGCGGUUUUUUAAGUCUGAUGUGAAAGCCCACGGCUCAACCGUGGAGGGUCAUUGGAAACUGGAAAACUUGAGUGCAGAAGAGGAAAGUGGAAUUCCAUGUGUAGCGGUGAAAUGCGCAGAGAUAUGGAGGAACACCAGUGGCGAAGGCGACUUUCUGGUCUGUAACUGACACUGAUGUGCGAAAGCGUGGAGAUCAAACAGG
RNAcentral lists this ribosomal RNA (429 nucleotides) under Actinomycetes bacterium. Its description in RNAcentral is "Actinobacteria bacterium partial 16S ribosomal RNA". It matches the Rfam family "Bacterial small subunit ribosomal RNA", at positions 355 to 776 of the family's 1533-position model. Lineage: Bacteria; Bacillati; Actinomycetota; Actinomycetes. The record is from RNAcentral.